UCCUAAUUUAGACUAUUGUUUG
This 22-nucleotide transfer RNA is filed under the name Tropheus moorii (blunthead cichlid). Its description in RNAcentral is "partial transfer RNA-Pro". The record is from RNAcentral. Lineage: Eukaryota; Metazoa; Chordata; Actinopteri; Cichliformes; Cichlidae.